UCUGGGGAUUUUACUGUGCAGUUUUUAUUCUUUCUGAUCUAUAUAGGUGUCAGAAAAUAUGAGAUAUACAUAGAUAAUACUGUGUUAUCAAAUACUGAUGUUCAAUGCCAGGCUAGUAAUUUUACAUUUUGAAAUGGCAGAAGACCAAGAGGGAUUUUGAAAGGUCACCUAGCCCCUGUUUCCUACCUCUGUAUCUCCUCAGAAGAAGGGCACAUUUACUCAGUCUCUAAAGACAAGACUGCAAAGAUAUGGCACAUUAAGGAUGAGACAUGUCUGUUUACUGCCAAUCCAGAUGCAAGUAACAUCCAGGGAGAAUUGUCUGCAUGCCUCUACUCUUCAGCUGUAAAGGGGCUCUACAUUGCCUCAGAUUCUCUCGCCUUACUAUCCCUUCAGAAAAAACCACAAUCAAUUGGGCAAUCAGAUUCUGUCCCAUGUGCUGUGCUGUGGAUACAGUGAGGAGUUUAAGCAGGUGGUGAGCUGCUCUCAGGGCUCGGCUAGUGACUAGUGGAAUAGACAGUUGCCUUAAGAUGUGGAACUUCAACAAUGGCCAGUGUGUGAAGAUACUCAAGAAAGAUGGAAAUUGUGACCAGAUUUGUGACUGCCUCUAUCUGAAGCUGCACAGGAAAGCGUGAGUCUCUGCUGACUGUGAUCCUCAUGGAUAUUAUCCUCCUCAUUUUUUGGCUGAGGUGCUUUUUUAUUUGUUUUGGGAGAUUUGUGGUUUCUGUAGGUUGGGACCGCAGGAUUGACGUUUAU
Molecule: long non-coding RNA, 753 nt
Organism: Megalobrama amblycephala (Wuchang bream)
Lineage: Eukaryota; Metazoa; Chordata; Actinopteri; Cypriniformes; Xenocyprididae
Exons: 5
Source: RefSeq, a predicted model, not a curated record